AGAUAAUAGAUACCCGGGUAGUCCACGCCCUAAACGAUGACAACUGGCUAUAAGGAGUAUCGACCCUCUUUGUGGCGAAAGCUAAACGCGUUAAGUUGUCCGCCUGGGUAGUACGGCCGCAAGGCUAAAACUCAAAGGAAUAGACGGGGACUUGCACAAGCGGUGGAUCAUGCGGCUCAAUUCGAUGACAAACGAAGAACCUCACCAGGGUUUGAAACCCAGACGAUCGCUCUAGGAAACUAGAGCUUCCGCAAGGCGGCUGGGUCAGGUGAUGCAUGGUCGUCGUCAGUUCGUGGCUUGAGUUGUUCCCUUCAGUGGGUUAACCGAACGCAACCCUCGUUGCCUGUUUUAAAACGUCAGGCGAGACUGCCCCCGUCACGGGGGUAGGAAGGUGAGGAUGACGCCAGAUCAGCAUGUCCCUCUGAUAUCCUGGGCUGCACGCAUGAUACAAUGGACGAGACAACGGGUUCGCGACGGAGUAAUCCUGAGCUAAUCCUUAGAACUCGUCCCCAGUUCGGAUUGAGGGCUGCAACUCGCCCU
This 540-nucleotide ribosomal RNA is filed under the name uncultured bacterium. Its description in RNAcentral is "bacterial SSU rRNA". It matches the Rfam family "Bacterial small subunit ribosomal RNA", at positions 775 to 1318 of the family's 1533-position model. The record is from RNAcentral.